AUGGCCUUUGGUUUUCUCUCCUGGGGCACUUUCUGGCCGAGGGUGCAAGGUGCUCACCGGCAGCUGCCCGGCCCCUCCUUCCUGUAACCCGAGGGUGUCUCUGUUCAAGUCACAAACCAGCCCUCCCUGCCUGCCCUCCCACAUGACUGGAUGACGUCCCCGGAGCAACACCCUCCGAGGAAGACUGCCAGGGUUGUGCCCCAGGAGGAACUGACAAGUGGCAAGCAACCGGCAGAGGACGGACGGACGGACGGGCAGACUGAGGAAGAGAGGAGGAGAGAGAGAGAGAAAGAGAGAGGGAGACUGGUACCCACCCCCCACCCCUCCGGGAAGGAUGGUCUGAGUUAUCAUCAACGCCUGCAGCUAUGUGGUGGCAAGAAUCAGGAGCUGCUGCAGCUGUUGUGGUGAAGACGGCGAAGCGGAGCGGCGCGACGCAUCGGUCCCACCGAAAGAUAAAGCCCCAGAAGUAGGAGGAGGAUGACGACGCCAACCCAGAGAGGUGGAGCCGCCUUCCGAGUCCAACUUUCCCAUCAGAUCUCAGCCAGCGGGAACAUGAGGCUAGAAGACCGUGCCGGGACCGUUCUUCGGAACAGGACCCUGCGCCGCUGAUGGAGAGAAACCUGAUUUUGCUAAACCCACCCAGGCCAUUGCCCGUUGGGUUAUCACACAAAGCCAUGACGACACAUUCACCAGCUCCGCAAGGAGAUGAAUGGGCCUGAAUUCUUUUCCUUUUGCUGUGAUACCCUUACAAGUUAAUGUCCUGGUGAACAAUUGUCACGACGUCAAGCCAGAUAAACGGAUGUCUGAACCUAAGAGUCCUACAAAGCUUAGGAGAGCUUCAAGAAGAAAAUCAGAAGCCCAUGUUCAUCACAGCUGGCCUUUAUCCCAAAAGGAGUUCAUUCCAGUGAGAACCGGAACAACAUUUUACACCUUGCAUAAUGUUCUUUUUUUCUUCUGGAUCUUUCUUAAGUUCCUGUCCCUUUGCAAGUUUGGCCAAUUGGGUUUCCCAAAAUACCUGGUUUUCCCUCUUAUAUUUUUCCAAACACACACAAGAAAAUGUUUGUGAGUGAUUAUUUACAAAAUGUAUAUUUAUAAGGUCAAGCAGGAUGUGUCAGAAAUAGGCUGAUAGAAACUUAGAGAAGUUGAGAUACUGCCAAAUAGUGAAGUUAAUAACUCUCAGUGAUAUGAGUCACAGCAACAUGGAUAAAUUUGAUAAAUCAGAGCCUACACAAAAAACAGCAUCAUAUUAGUACAGGUUUAGAGAAUAAAUUCUAACCUCCACCCA
Molecule: long non-coding RNA, 1285 nt
Filed under: Pogona vitticeps (central bearded dragon)
Lineage: Eukaryota; Metazoa; Chordata; Lepidosauria; Squamata; Agamidae
Description: lncRNA (ENSPVIG00000023116.1)
Source: RNAcentral